Unclassified non-coding RNA from Chrysemys picta bellii (western painted turtle), 158 nucleotides. The record is from Ensembl. NCBI's taxonomy places the organism in Eukaryota, Metazoa, Chordata, Testudines, Emydidae.
CUGACAGCCCUGGAAACUGAAGAGUUUUACAUAUCCACAGAAUAGGUACAGCAGCAGUACAAACUUCCCCACCAGUAUUCCUUAAACCUAACAUAAAGGGACUGCCUCCCUUAGAAGGGAGUCCUUUUACCUAUUAAAUUUUUAUUCUUUCUGCUGAG